RNAcentral lists this ribosomal RNA (429 nucleotides) under Chloroflexota bacterium. RNAcentral describes it as "Chloroflexi bacterium partial 16S ribosomal RNA". It matches the Rfam family "Bacterial small subunit ribosomal RNA", at positions 355 to 776 of the family's 1533-position model. Lineage: Bacteria; Bacillati; Chloroflexota. The record is from RNAcentral.
UGGGGAAUAUUGCACAAUGGGCGCAAGCCUGAUGCAGCCAUGCCGCGUGUUUGAAGAAGGCCUUCGGGUUGUAAAGUACUUUCAGUCGGGAGGAAGGUGGUAAGGUUAAUAACCUUAUCAAUUGACGUUACCGACAGAAGAAGCACCGGCUAACUCCGUGCCAGCAGCCGCGGUAAUACGGAGGGUGCAAGCGUUAAUCGGAAUUACUGGGCGUAAAGCGCACGCAGGCGGUUGAUUGAGUCAGAUGUGAAAUCCCCGGGCUUAACCCGGGAAUUGCAUCUGAUACUGGUCAGCUAGAGUCUUGUAGAGGGGGGUAGAAUUCCAUGUGUAGCGGUGAAAUGCGUAGAGAUCUGGAGGAAUACCGGUGGCGAAGGCGGCCCCCUGGACGAAGACUGACGCUCAGGUGCGAAAGCGUGGGGAGCAAACAGG